UACGGGGGGGGCAAGCGUUGUUCGGAAUUACUGGGCGUAAAGGGCUUGUAGGUGGCCAACUAAGUCAGACGUGAAAUCCCUCGGCUUAACCGGGGAACUGCGUCUGAUACUGGACGGCUUGAAUCCGGGAGAGGGAUGCAGAAUUCCAGGUGUAGCGGUGAAAUGCGUAGAGAUCGGGAGGAACAUCUGUGGCGAAGGCGGCCAUCUGGACCAGCACUGACACUGAGGCACGAAAGCGUGGGGAGCAAACAGG
Molecule: ribosomal RNA, 253 nt
Filed under: uncultured bacterium
Lineage: Bacteria
Description: partial 16S ribosomal RNA
Rfam family: Bacterial small subunit ribosomal RNA
Source: RNAcentral